CCUGCACUCUGCUGCUUAACA
RNAcentral lists this microRNA (21 nucleotides) under Capitella teleta. Its description in RNAcentral is "Cte-Mir-252-P1_3p* (star (passenger))". Lineage: Eukaryota; Metazoa; Annelida; Polychaeta; Capitellidae. The record is from RNAcentral.